Molecule: ribosomal RNA, 468 nt
Filed under: uncultured bacterium
Lineage: Bacteria
Description: partial 16S ribosomal RNA
Rfam family: Bacterial small subunit ribosomal RNA
Source: RNAcentral
GACGAACGCUGGCGGCGUGCUUAACACAUGCAAGUCGAACGAUGAAAGAGGAGCUCGCUCCCCUGGAUUAGUGGCGAACGGGUGAGUAACACGUGAGCAAUCUGCCCCUGACUCCGGAAUAACUACGGGAAACUGUAGCUAAUACCGGAUAUGCGCCGAACAGGCAUCUGUAUCGGUGGGAAAGAAUUUCGGUCAGGGAUGAGCUCGCGGCCUAUCAGCCUGUUGGUGAGGUAACGGCUCACCAAGGCGACGACGGGUAGCCGGCCUGAGAGGGUGACCGGCCACAUUGGGACUGAGACACGGCCCAGACUCCUACUGGAGGCAGCAGUGGGGAAUAUUGCACAAUGGGCGCAAGCCUGAUGCAGCAACGCCGCGUGAGGGAUGACGGCCUUCGGGUUGUAAACCUCUUUUAGCAGAGAAGAAGCGAAAGUGACGGUACCUGCAGAAAAAGCGCCGGCUAACUACGUG